GCCCGCAUGGCGCAGUGGCGUGCGUCUGGCAACUCCUCUCCAUCGCAGAGGGGGCUGGUUCGAUUCCAGCUGCGAGCA
RNAcentral lists this transfer RNA (78 nucleotides) under Colletotrichum fructicola Nara gc5. Its description in RNAcentral is "tRNA-Undet for anticodon ???". It matches the Rfam family "tRNA". Rfam says of the family: Transfer RNA (tRNA) molecules are approximately 80 nucleotides in length. Their secondary structure includes four short double-helical elements and three loops (D, anti-codon, and T loops). Lineage: Eukaryota; Fungi; Ascomycota; Sordariomycetes; Glomerellales; Glomerellaceae. The record is from RNAcentral.